This 335-nucleotide unclassified non-coding RNA is filed under the name soil metagenome. RNAcentral describes it as "partial contains 5.8S ribosomal RNA, internal transcribed spacer 2, and large subunit ribosomal RNA". The stretch from base 1 to 120 matches the Rfam family "5.8S ribosomal RNA", at positions 35 to 154 of the family's 154-position model. The record is from RNAcentral.
GAUGAAGAACGUAGCGAAAUGCGAUAAGUAAUGUGAAUUGCAGAAUUCAGUGAAUCAUCGAAUCUUUGAACGCACAUUGCGCCCACUAGUAUUCUAGUGGGCAUGCCUGUUCGAGCGUCAUUUCAACCCUUAAGCCUAGCUUAGUAUUGGGAAUCGACUUUACUGUCGUUCCUCAAAUUCAACGGCGGAUUUAUAGCAAUCUCUGAACGUAGUAAUUUUUUUCCUCGUUUUUGAAAUACUAUAAACCUCAGCCGCUAAACCCCCAAUUUUUUUAUGGUUGACCUCGGAUCAGGUAGGAAUACCCGCUGAACUUAAGCAUAUCAAUAAGCGGAGGA